RNAcentral lists this ribosomal RNA (460 nucleotides) under uncultured bacterium. RNAcentral's name for it is "partial 16S ribosomal RNA". It matches the Rfam family "Bacterial small subunit ribosomal RNA", at positions 338 to 795 of the family's 1533-position model. The record is from RNAcentral.
CCUACGGGAGGCAGCAGUGAGGAAUAUUGGUCAAUGGACGGAAGCCUGAACCAGCCAUGCCGCGUGCAGGAAGACGGCUCUAUGAGUUGUAAACUGCUUUUGUACAAGGGUAAACCUGAAUACGUGUAUUCAGCUGAAAGUACUUUACGAAUAAGGAUCGGCUAACUCCGUGCCAGCAGCCGCGGUAAUACGGAGGAUCCAAGCGUUAUCCGGAUUUAUUGGGUUUAAAGGGUGCGUAGGCGGAUUGAUAAGUUAGUGGUGAAAUGUCCGAGCUUAACUCUGGAACUGCCUCUAAUACUGUUGAUCGAGAGUGCAGAUGAGGUAGGCGGAAUGUGUGGUGUAGCGGUGAAAUGCUUAGAGAUCAUACAGAACACCGAUUGCGAAGGCAGCUUACCAAUCUAUAUCUGACGUUGAGGCACGAAAGCGUGGGGAGCAAACAGGAUUAGAUACCCUUGUAGUC